CCUGGCGGCUAUGCCGGGGGGUCCCCACCCGAUCCCAUCCCGAACUCGGUCGUUAAGUCCCCCAGGGCCGAUGGUACUGCGUCUUAAGGCGCGGGAGAGUAGGUCGCUGCCGGGU
Molecule: non-coding RNA, 115 nt
Organism: Hyphomonadaceae bacterium
Lineage: Bacteria; Pseudomonadati; Pseudomonadota; Alphaproteobacteria; Hyphomonadales; Hyphomonadaceae
Source: Rfam